RNAcentral lists this ribosomal RNA (775 nucleotides) under Salmonella enterica subsp. diarizonae. RNAcentral's name for it is "partial 23S ribosomal RNA". It matches the Rfam family "Bacterial large subunit ribosomal RNA", at positions 711 to 1487 of the family's 2925-position model. Lineage: Bacteria; Pseudomonadati; Pseudomonadota; Gammaproteobacteria; Enterobacterales; Enterobacteriaceae. The record is from RNAcentral.
AGACCCGAAACCCGGUGAUCUAGCCAUGGGCAGGUUGAAGGUUGGGUAACACUAACUGGAGGACCGAACCGACUAAUGUUGAAAAAUUAGCGGAUGACCUGUGGCUGGGGGUGAAAGGCCAAUCAAACCGGGAGAUAGCUGGUUCUCCCCGAAAGCUAUUUAGGUAGCGCCUCGUGAACUCAUCUCCGGGGGUAGAGCACUGUUUCGGCUAGGGGGCCAUCCCGGCUUACCAACCCGAUGCAAACUGCGAAUACCGGAGAAUGUUAUCACGGGAGACACACGGCGGGUGCUAACGUCCGUCGUGAAGAGGGAAACAACCCAGACCGCCAGCUAAGGUCCCAAAGUCAUGGUUAAGUGGGAAACGAUGUGGGAAGGCCCAGACAGCCAGGAUGUUGGCUUAGAAGCAGCCAUCAUUUAAAGAAAGCGUAAUAGCUCACUGGUCGAGUCGGCCUGCGCGGAAGAUGUAACGGGGCUAAACCAUGCACCGAAGCUGCGGCAGCGACACUUUAGUGUUGUUGGGUAGGGGAGCGUUCUGUAAGCCGUUGAAGGUGUCCUGUGAGGGGUGCUGGAGGUAUCAGAAGUGCGAAUGCUGACAUAAGUAACGAUAAAGCGGGUGAAAAGCCCGCUCGCCGGAAGACCAAGGGUUCCUGUCCAACGUUAAUCGGGGCAGGGUGAGUCGACCCCUAAGGCGAGGCCGAAAGGCGUAGUCGAUGGGAAACGGGUUAAUAUUCCCGUACUUGGUGUUACUGCGAAGGGGGGACGGAGAAGGCUAUGU